Molecule: ribosomal RNA, 677 nt
Filed under: endophytic bacterium
Lineage: Bacteria
Description: bacterial SSU rRNA
Rfam family: Bacterial small subunit ribosomal RNA
Source: RNAcentral
GGCGGACGGGUGAGUAACACGUGGGUAACCUGCCUGUAAGACUGGGAUAACUCCGGGAAACCGGAGCUAAUACCGGAUAGUUCCUUGAACCGCAUGGUUCAAGGAUGAAAGACGGUUUCGGCUGUCACUUACAGAUGGACCCGCGGCGCAUUAGCUAGUUGGUGGGGUAAUGGCUCACCAAGGCGACCAUGCGUAGCCGACCUGAGAGGGUGAUCGGCCACACUGGGACUGAGACACGGCCCAGACUCCUACGGGAGGCAGCAGUAGGGAAUCUUCCGCAAUGGACGAAAGUCUGACGGAGCAACGCCGCGUGAGUGAUGAAGGUUUUCGGAUCGUAAAGCUCUGUUGUUAGGGAAGAACAAGUGCGAGAGUAACUGCUCGCACCUUGACGGUACCUAACCAGAAAGCCACGGCUAACUACGUGCCGCAGCCGCGGUAAUACGUAGGUGGCAAGCGUUGUCCGGAAUUAUUGGGCGUAAAGGGCUCGCAGGCGGUUUCUUAAGUCUGAUGUGAAAGCCCCCGGCUCAACCGGGGAGGGUCAUUUGGAAACUGGGAAACUUGAGUGCAGAAGAGGAGAGUGGAAUUCCCCGUGUAGCGGCGAAAUGCGUAGAGAUGUGGAGGAACACCAGUGGCGAAGGCGACUCUCUGGUCUGUAACUGACGCUGAGGAGCGAAAGC